This 422-nucleotide long non-coding RNA is filed under the name Ursus americanus (American black bear). Its description in RNAcentral is "lncRNA (ENSUAMG00000026798.1)". The record is from RNAcentral. Lineage: Eukaryota; Metazoa; Chordata; Mammalia; Carnivora; Ursidae.
GGGCAAGGUUAUGUUCAGAAGCCCAGAUAGAAGCCAGCCUAUUCCACAAAAAGAAAGAGAGCACUGGAAGGGGGUCCAUUGGAAGAGUCAGGACUGUCAGGAAAAGAGUGAGGACGAAUGUGGUGAUGCUUGCAAAAUCAAGACCCACUGUAACUGCCACCUGUCGCUUGGGCAAGUGCAAAGCCUCAGUGCCACCAAGCCCCGCGCUUCAGGAGAACCAGUUCGCCCUGGAAGAGCUAACAACGGCGGAACUGAUAGAAACUACUCAAUCAGUAGUCUCCAUAUUGGAUGGUGACUGGACGAGCCAAUGAAACCCUCUCUCCUUGGGAAGGUUGGAGGAAUGUGAAGAAGGUUCUGAGAAGCCCGUGAGACAACCACUUCCCCAUCUGUGCUGGGGCCCUUCUGCAGCAGGGGUGAGCACU